Molecule: long non-coding RNA, 284 nt
Filed under: Volvox carteri
Lineage: Eukaryota; Viridiplantae; Chlorophyta; Chlorophyceae; Chlamydomonadales; Volvocaceae
Description: long non-coding RNA (VCAR_LNC001411)
Source: RNAcentral
GAGAAGUGCUAUCGCAAGCGGCAGGGUUUGCCUAGGAUUACCGAAUGGAAACCGGAGGUCGUUGCGCUUACGCUGGUGGCCCGAGAACAACAAUUCGUUCCCCAGCGGACUAGAGAGGAGGAGGACCUCGCCUACUACCGAAAUCUGCCUAGGAACGUGUCCAUGGUUUUUGGGCGGGCACCAUUUGUCGAGAAACUUCAGAGGGUUGUUUCGCAGUAUCCUGAGAACCCGUGGUGGCUGGAUUCCGGUAGUAAAUAUCAUAUUACGGGGGACCGAAGUAUCCU